RNAcentral lists this microRNA (24 nucleotides) under Brachypodium distachyon (stiff brome). RNAcentral describes it as "bdi-miR5174c-5p". The record is from miRBase by way of RNAcentral. Lineage: Eukaryota; Viridiplantae; Streptophyta; Magnoliopsida; Poales; Poaceae.
UCCCUCCGUUCUAUGAAGAUUGGC